AACAGGCAGGGCUUGGUCUUAUUCUGUUUAAAUGAUCAAUAGUUCCUGUAGUUCUAACAAAAACAGGAUGGCUCCUCUUUUUAUUCAUUUGUUUUCCAUUUUUCCACAUGCAUCCUCCAUUAGUUGGGUUGGGAUCAAUAAAUUCACCAUUCUGUUUCAUUUGAUAGAAUGCAUUUGGAUUUGUAUCGAGGAGAUAUUUUUUUCUUAAUUCUUCUAACUGUUUCUUGUAUUCAAAGUACCCUGGAGGAAAGACAAUGGUUUCAUAAACCAUUGGUUUAAAUACUUCAUUUGCACUGGAGUAGUUUUGUCUAAUAUGCUUCUCAGCCUCUAAGGCACCGUAUUCACCAGAACAAUACAUUAAUGUCUUGGCUGGAUUUAAGCAUGAAGCUGAAUCUGCAAACGUAUCAUCUCUUGCAAAGUCAUGAACAGAAUUCUUAUAUCUAUUUGGCACACUAUAGCAGUUAAGAGAUUCCGAAUUGUAUUGAUUAUUCAUUCGUUGAGGAAUACAGUUAUCAAAUGGAUUUAAGGUUGUUGAAUUUGUAAAGGUUGGUCUACCAGCACUAGAGCUUCUUCCAUAAUUUGGAGCCGAGUAUAGUUCUUCUCUGUUAUAGUAGUUAUCUCCAUAGUUUUGUAAGUAUUCUCCCUUGUAAUGGGUAAUAUUGGAAUUGUAAGGGACAUUGGAUUUUCCAGCCAUGAAAUUUUUAACAUUUGGUGGCGGAUUUGAUGGUGCAUUUUGAGUAACUCUUCUAGUUGGAUUUCUUUUUUGUGGAAAUUGAUCAAAGUUUGGUUGUCGCUCUGGAAGUCUUUCUUGGGGUUGAUAAAAAGAUUGGUUGAUAUUAUCUCUCAAAUGUCCGUCAUCAGAAUCAAUUGAAAAUGGGUAUGGUACUGUUGGAUAUUCAGUUUUAUUAUUUGGGUAAUUUGAAUAGCAACCUGUAAAACUGGGUCUUGAAGCAUAAUCUUCAGGUACCUUGUGUCUCUCAAUAUCAGAAUUAGACUGAUUGCUCCUUUGAGCUGUUGUUACACUGCUACUUCGUCUUGGAAUUCCAGAAUUACUAGCGUUCAUUUCAUUAAUUGACUUUUUUGAUCUAGAAUUUGCGGGGUUAUUUCCUGCUGUGCUUGAAACACUACCUAAUGACCUUCUAUUUGGGAUGGAAUUUCCAUUUUGUCUCUGAAAUCUGUCUAAUUCGUUUGAUCCUAAUCCUGUUUUAGAGGGCAUUUUCCUGGUGCUACUUGUCAGAUUCUGUUGAGGUGGCUGGCUCUUAUUUCUAAGAGACUCAAAAGACCUUCUUUUUGGUCUUAAAGUUGCUGAAUUCAUUACUGUUUGGCUUCCAGGAAUAGACUUAUUUUCUCCUUGAAUUAUAUUUCUUGUUAAGUCUCUGGUUCUGGGUGUAAUUACUGGAACAGGAACUGGUAUAGGAUAAGAAUGGUCACCAAUUGGAGUUAAUUUGUGGGAGUUAUUUCUGCCAUUUGAAUGCAUCAUUUCGUCAUAAAUAUCUGUUAAAGGAACUCCCGGAGUACCCAUAGGUACUACCUUAGCAUCCUUACCAUUAGAUGGCCAUAUUCCUGCAUAUCCUAAAUGCUCACUGUCCAUAGCAUCUAACUUAUUUUUAUUUGAGUAGUUC
Molecule: non-coding RNA, 1622 nt
Filed under: Cryptosporidium parvum
Lineage: Eukaryota; Apicomplexa; Conoidasida; Eucoccidiorida; Cryptosporidiidae
Source: RNAcentral